UACCCGCUGAACUUAAGCAUAUCAAUAAGCGGAGGAAAAGAAACUAACCAGGAUUCCCUUGGUAACGGCGAGUGAAGAGGGAAGAGCCCAGCACCGAAGCCUGCGGCAGUUUUGCUGUUAGGCAAUGUGGUGUGCGGGUCGGUUCGCGGGACCGUCACUCCAUCCGAAGUCCAGCAUUGAGUAUGGUUAUCACUGGAUUUGGCCCAUAGAGGGUGAGAGGCCCGUACCGGGUGGAGGUUCAGGAAUGUGCGACGGUUCACCAGACCGACCCCAGAGUCGGGUUGCUUGAGAUUGCAGCCCAAAGAGGGUGGUAAACUCCAUCCAAGGCUAAAUACUGGCACGAGUCCGAUAGCAAACAAGUACCGUGAGGGAAAGUUGAAAAGUACUCUGAAGAGAGAGUAAACAGUAUGUGAAGCCGCAUGCAGGUAAACGGGUGGCGUCAAGCUGCUAGCCCGGAGGAUUCAGCUGACUGGGAUGUAGUUAACGCGCGCCUGGUGCGUCGAGAGGCCGGAAUAAGAUGUGCUGCUGUGUGUGUGUGAUCUACCCCUCUGCUGGGGGUGGAGCGCUGCCGAUUUGCGUGCCGUUGUGCUUGUCGCGGCGGUACGUGGGUCGGUUGUCGUUAUGCGUGCCGGAUGGGUGCCGGAGCAUGUCACACUCGUCUGUUGGGCCGCCUAGUCAGUGCAUUUUCUCCGUGGUGAACACCACGACCGGUGGAGCUGCCAGUCUGCUGUGGUCAAGUCGUAUUCUCCUGGUGCGCUAACUGUGUGCUAGUUGGAUACGAUGGCAGGUGGAGUCGGUGGACGGCGCAGUGGUUGCUUCGGCGCUACGGCGUGCUAUCGUACACUCUCCAUCGUAAACGGUUGGGCAGGGGAUGACUGAGUACUGUGACAACUUCUCCUCCUCCCGGCAGACCAUGGUGGUGAAAGGGACUGUGCAGAGCACCGGAGUUAACCACCUCAUUGAUGUUGCUGCUACUGCUGCUGCCAUCGGCUUCGCGGUCGGUGGUGGUGGUGGUUGUGGGUGAUGUCAUCAUGGUACCCGACACGCACGUCACAGGUGUAGCAGGGUCGGAGGUGUGCCGCUGUCUGCCUGGGACUAGGCCUGAUUGUCGUGUUGCCUGCACAAAUGCAGGUCCGGCAGUGGUCUCGGAUUCUAGGCAGUUGCAGUGCGCGCGCCUUCAUUACUGCUGAGGAGUGUCUGUGGUACCGGGGGUGAAAUAGUCAGUGGUGCUGUGGUAGACGAGCUACCCGACCCGUCUUGAAACACGGACCAAGGAG
This 1277-nucleotide ribosomal RNA is filed under the name Hymenolepididae sp. BJ-1. Its description in RNAcentral is "eukaryotic LSU rRNA". It matches the Rfam family "Eukaryotic large subunit ribosomal RNA", at positions 22 to 673 of the family's 3401-position model. The record is from RNAcentral. Lineage: Eukaryota; Metazoa; Platyhelminthes; Cestoda; Cyclophyllidea; Hymenolepididae.